RNAcentral lists this ribosomal RNA (497 nucleotides) under uncultured bacterium. RNAcentral's name for it is "partial 16S ribosomal RNA". It matches the Rfam family "Bacterial small subunit ribosomal RNA", at positions 28 to 507 of the family's 1533-position model. The record is from RNAcentral.
GAUGAACGCUGGCGGCGUGCCUAAUACAUGCAAGUCGAGCGAACAGACGAGGAGCUUGCUCCUCUGACGUUAGCGGCGGACGGGUGAGUAACACGUGGAUAACCUACCUAUAAGACUGGGAUAACUUCGGGAAACCGGAGCUAAUACCGGAUAAUAUAUUGAACCGCAUGGUUCAAUAGUGAACGACGGUUUUGCUGUCACUUAUAGAUGGAUCCGCGCCGCAUUAGCUAGUUGGUAAGGUAACGGCUUACCAAGGCAACGAUGCGUAUCCGACCUGAGAGGGUGAUCGGCCACACUGGAAGUGAGACACGGUCCAGACUCCUAGGGGAGGCAGCAGUAGGGAAUCUUCCGCAAUGGGCGAAAGCCUGACGGAGCAACGCCGCGUGAGUGAUGAAGGUCUUCGGAUCGUAAAACUCUGUUAUUAGGGAAGAACAAAUGUGUAAGUAACUAUGCACGUCUUGACGGUACCUAAUCAGAAAGCCACGGCUAACUACGUG